GCAAACUUGGUCAUUUAGAGGAAGUAAAAGUCGUAACAAGGUCUCCGUUGGUGAACCAGCGGAGGGAUCAUUAACGACGAGUCUUCACUCGAAGACCCCCUGUGGACAAUUUGACCAGCAUGGUUGGCUCGGUAGGCGUCCUCUGGGAGAGGGCCAGCGCUGUCGAAGCCACGGCAGGCCUGCCGGCAGAGCCAACCACUAAACUCUUGAUUUACUGAGUCUCUCUGAGAAUUGACGGAAUAUCAAAACUUUCAACAACGGAUCUCUUGGUUCCGGCAUCGAUGAAGAACGCAGC
RNAcentral lists this unclassified non-coding RNA (295 nucleotides) under uncultured fungus. RNAcentral describes it as "partial contains small subunit ribosomal RNA, internal transcribed spacer 1, and 5.8S ribosomal RNA". The stretch from base 1 to 73 matches the Rfam family "Eukaryotic small subunit ribosomal RNA", at positions 1759 to 1831 of the family's 1831-position model. Lineage: Eukaryota; Fungi. The record is from RNAcentral.